Molecule: small RNA, 668 nt
Filed under: Pan troglodytes (chimpanzee)
Lineage: Eukaryota; Metazoa; Chordata; Mammalia; Primates; Hominidae
Description: retained intron
Source: RNAcentral
GCGACAGCCGAGAAGCAGAAACACGACGGGCGGGUGAAGAUCGGCCACUACAUUCUGGGUGACACGCUGGGGGUUGGCACCUUCGGCAAAGUGAAGGUUGGCAAACAUGAAUUGACUGGGCAUAAAGUAGCUGUGAAGAUACUCAAUCGACAGAAGAUUCGGAGCCUUGAUGUGGUAGGAAAAAUCCGCAGAGAAAUUCAGAACCUCAAGCUUUUCAGGCAUCCUCAUAUAAUUAAACUGUAAGCUCUGUUUAUAUUAAAUAUAGUCCAGUCAUCUUUUCAUCUUUUUUGUUAACCUACUUAAUGUGACAAGUGAGAAAAAUGACUGACACUUCUUUUUGUUUCCUAAGGGUUUUGAAAAGUUUCUUCCUAGGCUGUGUGCGGUGGCUCACACCUGUAAUUCCAGUACUUUGGGAGGCUGAGGCAGGCAGAUCACCUGAGGUCAGGAGUUCGAGACCAGCCUGGCCAACAUGGUGAAACCCUGUCUCCAGUAAAAAUACAAAAAUUAGCUGGGCAUGGUGGUGGGCGCCUGUAAUACCAGCUACUCGGGAGGCUAAGGCAGGAGAAUGGCUUGAACCUGGGAGGCGGAGGUUGCAGUGAGCUGAGAUCGUGCCAUUGCACUCCAGCUUGGGCAACAAAAGCGAAACUCUGUCCCAAAAAAAAAUAAAA